AUCAGUGUGCGACUAAGCCAUGCGAGUCAAAUGUUCUUCGUGAACAUGGCGUACUGCUCAGUAACACGUGGAUAAUCUGCCCUAAGGUCAGGGAUAACUCCGGGAAACUGGUGAUAAUACCUGAUAAACCAUUGAAUCUGGAAUGAUCUUUGGUUCAAAGCUCCGGCGCCUUAGGAUGAAUCUGCGGCCUAUCAGGUUGUAGUGGGUGUAGUGUACCUACUAGCCGACGACGGGUACGGGUUGUGAGAGCAAGAGCCCGGAGAUGGAUUCUGAGACAUGAAUCCAGGCCCUACGGGGCGCAGCAGGCGCGAAAACUUUACAAUGCGGGAAACCGCGAUAAGGGGACACUGAGUGCCAGCAUCUUAUGUUGGCUGUCCACAUGUGUAAAUAGCAUGUGUUAGCAAGGGCCGGGCAAGACCGGCGCCAGCCGCCGCGGUAACACCGGCGGCCCGAGUGGUGACCACUAUUAUUGGGUCUAAAGGGUCCGUAGCCGGUUUGAUUAGCCUUCCGGGAAAUCUGACAGCUCAACUGUUAGGCUUCCGGGGGAUACUGUCAGACUUGGGACCGGGAGAGGUAAGAGGUACUACAGGGGUAGGAGUGAAAUCUUGUAAUCCUUGUGGGACCACCAGUGGCGAAGGCGUCUUACCAGAACGGGUCCGACGGUGAGGGACGAAAGCUGGGGGCACGUACCGGAUUAGAUACCCGGGUA
Molecule: ribosomal RNA, 709 nt
Filed under: uncultured archaeon
Lineage: Archaea
Description: bacterial SSU rRNA
Rfam family: Archaeal small subunit ribosomal RNA
Source: RNAcentral